GGACUUUGAUUUUCCGUAUAAAUUGGGUUUUUUAAAUCUUUGUGUCCCUUAUACUUUGAUUUUCUGGUAUUUAACAUUUUAACCUUACAACUCACAUAGAAGCAAAUUGUUUUUUUUAAUGCACUCCAGAUGUUUGAUAAAAUGCUUAUUUGAAACAAUUUGUUCUUUAGGUACUGGUGUAGCAGGAGCUUAAGUGCAAAUGAACUAGGUACUGCUGCUGAUUUUCGGAGGCCUGAGUUAUUUUCUAGACCAGUUAGCUGAAAUUGGCAAAUGAACUAGGCACCGCUGUCGAAGACCAGUUAAAUGAAAUUGGUACUAGUGUCGAAGACUAGCGUGAAAUUCUGUCAAAGACUAACUGAAANNNNNNNNNNNNNNCAAAGCUCACUAGUGCUUAGAUUGUAUUCACUAUGCUUACACAUUGUAGAUGAAAGAACUUGGCACCGCCUUGAUUAUGUCGAAGAUGUAGAUUGUAAAUGGGGGUUAGCUCUAUUUGUAGAGUGAUUCACAUUGUAAAUGGGAGUUAGCUCUAUCUUUGUACAAAUUGUAAUUAUCAUCUUAUAUUAAAUGAAGAAG
Molecule: long non-coding RNA, 573 nt
Filed under: Trifolium pratense (red clover)
Lineage: Eukaryota; Viridiplantae; Streptophyta; Magnoliopsida; Fabales; Fabaceae
Description: long non-coding RNA (TPRA_LNC007334)
Source: RNAcentral